AGCACGAGCCCGAAGCGACGAUGAUUUCCCUGCUUCGCCGCGCCCUCGCCCCCUCCCCGCCGCCGGCCGCCUCGCGGUGGCGGCGGACCCUCCUCGCGGCGCUCCUCUCCCCGCCGCCGGCCCCUCCCGGCCCCGUGCGCCGCGCGCCGGCGCAGGAGCCGCCGCGGCGGUCGUUCCGCGGCACGCCGAGCCCGCUGUGGUUCAGGGCCACCGCAGCCUCGUGGGCUGGGUCUGGACUGGUCGCGGGCGUGGCGUCGGGGGAGGACGGCGGGCUGGAGAUCGCGAAGCUGGGCAUCUCCGGGCGGAUCGUGGAGAAGCUCGCCGCGCGGGGCAUCACCAGGCUCUUCCCCAUCCAGAGGGCUGUUCUUGAGCCAGCAAUGCAAGGAAAAGACAUGAUUGGCCGUGCUCGAACAGGAACUGGGAAGACCUUGGCUUUUGGUAUUCCUAUUAUGGACAGGAUUAUUAGCUACAAUGAGAAGAAUGGUGUGAUGUGUGCAGAAGCAGUAGGAAUCCUUUAGCCAUAGUCUUGGCGCCAACAAGAGAACUUGCUCGGCAGGUUGAGAAGGAAUUUAGAGAAUCUGCUCCGUUGGACACUCUCUGUGUCUAUGGAGGUGUUCCUAUCAAUCAGCAAAUCAGAGUUCUUAACUAUGGUGUUGACAUAGUGGUUGGGACUCCAGGUCGAAUUAUUGAUCUUUUGAGAAGAGGUGUUUUAAACCUUUCAGAGAUCCAGUUUUUGGUACUAGAUGAAGCUGAUCAGAUGCUGGCUGUGGGUUUCGAUGAAGAUGUUGAGGUGAUCAUGGAGCAGUUGCCACAGAACCGUCAGAGUAUGCUGUUCUCUGCAACAAUGCCUAGUUGGAUAAGAAAAAUUUCAAACAAGUACUUAAAGGAUCCAGUUAUAAUUGACCUUGUGGGUGACUUCUUGUCUUCCUUUUCUUGUUACUUUUAUCUUACUUUUCCUAGCUUCUCAUGGAAAUCAUGCGCCCUGUUGUAUACUAGUAUAUAUGGAGUCCUGUCUUGGAUAGAUCUUCCUGGGACUACAGACAUUGUUUGAUGCGUCAGAUAAGCAUCAAAGUUUUCCUUCAUAGAAAAAGGAACACCUAAUCAGCACAUAAACUUUAUUAUCUGGAUUUCUUCUCAGCACAGCAUAUGUUACAUUCUUUCCCAGACAUUUACUUCUCUGCUUCCUCAGGUUGGUGACUCAGACCAGAAAUUGCCAGAAGGAAUCUCUCUCUAUUCCAUUGCCUCUGACAACUUUGGGAAGCCAUCACUUCUUGGUCCAUUGAUUAAAGAGCAUGCUAAGGGUGGAAAAUGCAUUGUGUUUACUCAGACUAAACGAGAAGCAGAUAGAUUGGCAUAUGCUAUGGGCAGGAGUUAUCCAUGUCAGGCGCUACAUGGGGAUAUUUCACAGAAUCAAAGAGAGAGGACACUCUCAGGAUUUCGCGAUGGCCGCUUCAAUAUCCUUGUGGCAACUGAUGUUGCAGCUCGUGGAUUAGACAUUCCCAAUGUUGAUCUGGUGGUACAUUAUGAGAUUCCAAAUACCUCAGAGUUGUUUGUUCACAGAUCUGGGAGAACUGCACGAGCAGGGAAGAAAGGCAGUGCAAUUUUGAUAUAUACAUAUGAGCAAACUAGAGCUGUAAGGGUCAUUGAGCAAGAUAUAGGAUGCAGGUUCACAGAGCUUCCAAAGAUGGCAGUUGCAGAUGAGGCUGCAGACAUGUUUAAUGUCAUGAGAGAUACUCGCUCUAGAUCAGUUGGAAGCAGAAGAACGGGUGGGUCUUUUGGCCGUGAAAGUUAUGGUGGCUUCGGAAAUCACCGCUCCAGAGCCUUUGGUGAUUUUGACAGUUUUGGUGGUUCGUUUGAUCGUGGUGGUGGGUUCAGCGACUCUGGUUCGAGAUAUCGUGGUGGGUCUGGAGGUUUCAGAAGACCUUCCAAUGAGUUUGGCAGGUCUAGUUUUGGUCGUUCUGAUAGAUUUGGCGACUUCGGAGAAGGGGAUUUCAGCAGGCACGACAGCUCUGACUUUGGCCGUUCCCGGAGCUCCGAUGAUCCAGGCUCCUCACGUUAUGGCAGAGGAUCCGGUGGCUUUGGCGCUUCAGAUUUCGGCAACUUCGGCGGCUUCAAGGAUUCCAAGCGAUGAGUGGAAUAUUGGUUUUCUUGUACAGUUCUGAACCUUUUCUAACUCCUGUUGUUCCUUCCAUGCCUGAGAGAACAAGAUACCGGUUUUGUUGCGCUUGUCACCUAAUCACGAGUAGUUUGGUUGUGUAGGGUUUGCUUCAGAACAAAUGUUGUAGUUGUAAUUUGUUUAUGUGCCUACUGACAACUGUAUGUUUUGAUCCCGUUCUCGUUAAUAAAUCUGAUAAAACUAAACCCUUUUUUGGUUUC
Molecule: RNA transcript, 2376 nt
Organism: Panicum virgatum (switchgrass)
Lineage: Eukaryota; Viridiplantae; Streptophyta; Magnoliopsida; Poales; Poaceae
Gene name: DEAD-box ATP-dependent RNA helicase 53-like
Exons: 6
Source: RefSeq, a predicted model, not a curated record